GGUGCCCUGGUGUGAAAGCUUCAUCACAGAACAUACAGAGGCCUUGAGCACGGCGGUCCUGCAUUUCCUGGUAUGUAAACUUGCUAGGAGGUCUGUCAUUACCAGAGCGAGGGAUGAAGGUGGGUUUAGGGGUUUGUGUUUUGGGAUCAGGGGCGGGUAGUAAGGGUGUGGUUUCUUUGGGUUUGUAGGGGGUGAAGCUAUUUGGUUUGUGGUAAGGAUUGAAGGGAGCUCUUUGUUGUUUUAGUGGUGUUUGCGACAUAGCAGAUUCAUGAAGCUUCGCGAUCUUCGCAGCAGCAGCUAUUGUUGUGGGUUCGAACUGACGUACAUGAAGAGCAAGGUGCUGGUUCAUGUUCGUAAGGAAGAUGCUGAGUGCGUGAGCUUCAGGGAGCGCGAUUCUGGUUUUAGCGUUCUCAAACUUAUCCAGAUACGUCUCCACAGAAUCAGUGCCUUGCUUUAGAGCCACCAACUCGGAAAGGGGGUCAUCAAACAGGUC
This 493-nucleotide long non-coding RNA is filed under the name Brassica napus (rape). RNAcentral's name for it is "long non-coding RNA (BNAP_LNC014470)". The record is from RNAcentral. Lineage: Eukaryota; Viridiplantae; Streptophyta; Magnoliopsida; Brassicales; Brassicaceae.